This 402-nucleotide ribosomal RNA is filed under the name bacterium. RNAcentral's name for it is "partial 16S ribosomal RNA". It matches the Rfam family "Bacterial small subunit ribosomal RNA", at positions 355 to 776 of the family's 1533-position model. The record is from RNAcentral.
UGGGGAAUUUUGCACAAUGGGGGAAACCCUGAUACAGCGACGCCGCGUGAUUUAGAAGGCCUUCGGGUUGUAAAAAUCUUUUCUAUGGGAAGAAAAUGACAGUACCAUAGGAAUAAGGACCGGCUAAUUACGUGCCAGCAGCCGCGGUAAUACGUAAGGUCCGAGCGUUGUCCGGAAUCAUUGGGCGUAAAGGGUACGUAGGCGGGUAAGCAAGUUAGAAGUGAAAUCCUAUAGCUCAACUAUAGUAAGCUUUUAAAACUGCUCAUCUUGAGGCAUGGAAGGGAAAGUGGAAUUCCUAGUGUAGCGGUGAAAUGCGCAGAUAUUAGGAGGAAUACCGGUGGCGAAGGCGACUUUCUGGCCAUAACCUGACGCUGAGGUACGAAAGCGUGGGUAGCAAACAGG